UCAGCCUUGCGAACGACCGUGGCUACAGCGCUGCGGUAAUUGGUAUUCACUAACGUGUCAAACCUCAUCGACGAACUGUAGGCUGUGAUAACUCGAGGCUGUGCGCACGGACGAGAUAGGGCUUGCAACAAAAACCGUAAAAUGAAACCGAUAACUGUAGAAAUAUAAUAUUUUAUUGACAAAUGGAAUGUUUUAUUCAGUUUAGAAUGUUAUUUAAAUAAAUAUUAUAUAAAAUAAACAUAAAUUUAUACAUCAAACAUUUGAUUUUGUUUUUUAAAGUUAAGAUUUGUUUGAAUACCCUUGCUUCCAUUGCCGUAAAAUAAACAAAUAACACUUAUACGUAGGUACGUAGAGAGUAUUAUAUUCCUUGUACUUAACAUUCCAGAGGCGCACUUUUUGUAUUUGUUUAUUCUCUUUUAAAAAUAAUUAAUAAAAUUAACGUAACUUUACCAACGUUUUAUAAGUUUGGAUGUAUCUAUCAAAUACGUCCACGCCGUCAUUUGACUGACAGUAUCCCGAUGACACUUAUCUCCUUCACAAUAGCAGCCUCAACUAGAAAGAGAGUAGUCUCACAAAGAUUUGUUGCCACUGAAGAGCACCGAGUAGAGACAGAACAAAUUUUGAUAGAGAAUCAGACAACACUAGUUCAUAUCUUAUAGCUAAUGAAUGAGAUAUGACUAAAUUAAAGUCAGCCAUUGUAUGAUUUAAUUAAAAAAAAUUUUAAAAAAUGUCAAAUAAUUUUUAUUCAAUUAAAUUUAAAAUAUUAUAAAUGGUAAUUCUUUAUGAUUCUACCAUCCAUUGUGAAGAAGGGGAGAAACCUCAAUUUUGGUUUUUAAAAUACUAAUAGAUUUUACAAUAAUACAUUUCUAAAAAUAUACACUGCCAAACAUAACAAGAGUUAUUGGAAUUAUUAGUUAAAUCAAGUUCAUUAUUGAAAAUAUAAGAUUAAAUUAUGUCAUUUAAUAGUCAUUAGUAAUUUUGAAAUAUAAGUUUCAUCUUAUAUAAUUUUCAAAUAAAAACACAAUUACAAUAAAAUUUUAUAAUUAUAAACUUGUUUCAAUUUCAAAUAAAUAAUUUUUAAUGAA
This is a long non-coding RNA of Galleria mellonella (greater wax moth), 1085 nucleotides long. RefSeq lists it as uncharacterized. NCBI's taxonomy places the organism in Eukaryota, Metazoa, Arthropoda, Insecta, Lepidoptera, Pyralidae. The transcript is spliced from 2 exons. The record is from RefSeq and is a predicted model, not a curated record.